ACGGAGGGUCCAAGCGUUGUCCGGAAUUAUUGGGUUUAAAGGGUGCGUAGGCGGUCUUUUAAGUCAGAGGUGAAAUCCUACAGCUUAACUGUAGAACGGCCUUUGAUACUGGAAGACUUGAGUAUACUAGAGGCAGGCGGAAUUUAUGAUGUAGCGGUGAAAUGCAUAGAUAUCAUAAAGAACACCGAUAGCGAAGGCAGCUUGCUGGAGUAUAACUGACGCUGAGGCACGAAAGCGUGGGUAGCGAACAGG
Molecule: ribosomal RNA, 252 nt
Filed under: uncultured bacterium
Lineage: Bacteria
Description: partial 16S ribosomal RNA
Rfam family: Bacterial small subunit ribosomal RNA
Source: RNAcentral